Molecule: ribosomal RNA, 259 nt
Filed under: uncultured bacterium
Lineage: Bacteria
Description: partial 16S ribosomal RNA
Rfam family: Bacterial small subunit ribosomal RNA
Source: RNAcentral
GCAGGUACANCGGGAAGCCAGGCGGCGACGCCGAGCGGAACCCGAAAACCUGUCUCAGUUCGGAUCGGAGUCUGCAACCCGACUCCGUGAAGCUGGAUUCGCUAGUAAUCGCGCAUCAGCCAUGGCGCGGUGAAUACGUUCCCGGGCCUUGUACACACCGCCCGUCAAGCCAUGGAAGCCGGGGGUGCCUGAAGUGUGCAGCCGCAAGGAGCGCCCUAAGGUAAAACCGGUGACUGGGGCUAAGUCGUAACAAGGUACC